AGAGUUUGAUCAUGGCUCAGAUUGAACGCUGGCGGCAGGCCUAACACAUGCAAGUCGAGCGGUAGCACAGAGAGCUUGCUCUCGGGUGACGAGCGGCGGACGGGUGAGUAAUGUCUGGGAAACUGCCUGAUGGAGGGGGAUAACUACUGGAAACGGUAGCUAAUACCGCAUAACGUCGCAAGACCAAAGUGGGGGACCUUCGGGCCUCAUGCCAUCAGAUGUGCCCAGAUGGGAUUAGCUAGUAGGUGGGGUAAUGGCUCACCUAGGCGACGAUCCCUAGCUGGUCUGAGAGGAUGACCAGCCACACUGGAACUGAGACACGGUCCAGACUCCUACGGGAGGCAGCAG
Molecule: ribosomal RNA, 348 nt
Filed under: Pseudomonas aeruginosa
Lineage: Bacteria; Pseudomonadati; Pseudomonadota; Gammaproteobacteria; Pseudomonadales; Pseudomonadaceae
Description: bacterial SSU rRNA
Rfam family: Bacterial small subunit ribosomal RNA
Source: RNAcentral